UACAGAGGUCCCAAGCGUUGUUCGGAUUCAUUGGGCGUAAAGGGUGUGUAGGUGGCGCGCUAAGUCGGGUGUGAAAUUUCGGAGCUUAACUCCGAAACUGCAUUCGAUACUGGCGUGCUUGAGGACUGGAGAGGAGACUGGAAUUCAUGGUGUAGCAGUGAAAUGCGUAGAGAUCAUGAGGAACACCAGUGGCGAAGGCGGCUCACUGGCCCGGUACUGACGCUGAGGUGCGAAAGCGUGGGGAGCAAACAGG
RNAcentral lists this ribosomal RNA (253 nucleotides) under uncultured bacterium. RNAcentral describes it as "partial 16S ribosomal RNA". It matches the Rfam family "Bacterial small subunit ribosomal RNA", at positions 524 to 776 of the family's 1533-position model. The record is from RNAcentral.